CCUACGGGGUGCUGCAGUGGGGAAUAUUGCGCAAUGGGCGAAAGCCUGACGCAGCGACGCCGCGUGAGGGAUGAAGGUCUUCGGAUCGUAAACCUCUGUCAGCAGGGAAGAACGGUCACUGUGCUAAUCAGCAGUGAAUUGACGGUACCUGCAAAGGAAGCACCGGCUAACUCCGUGCCAGCAGCCGCGGUAAUACGGAGGGUGCGAUCGUUAAUCGGAAUUAUUGGGCGUAAGGCGCUCGUAGGCGGUAUGUCAAGUCAAGGGUGAAAUCCCCGCGCUCAACGUGGGAACUGCCGUUGAAACUGGUGAACUGGAGUGUGUGAGAGGAUAGUGGAAUUCCAGGUGUAGGAGUGAAAUCCGUAGAUAUCUGGAGGAACAUCAGUGGCGAAGGCGACUAUCCGGCACAUAACUGACGCUGAGGAGCGAAAGCGUGGGUAGCAAACAGGAUUAGAUACCCCUGUAGUC
This 465-nucleotide ribosomal RNA is filed under the name uncultured bacterium. Its description in RNAcentral is "partial 16S ribosomal RNA". It matches the Rfam family "Bacterial small subunit ribosomal RNA", at positions 338 to 795 of the family's 1533-position model. The record is from RNAcentral.